Molecule: non-coding RNA, 1014 nt
Organism: Cinara cedri
Lineage: Eukaryota; Metazoa; Arthropoda; Insecta; Hemiptera; Aphididae
Source: the annotation of a GenBank genome assembly
GAGGCGUGUGUAACGUGUUUGGAACAUACGCACAUAUUAUUAUUUAUUAUAUCAUACGGUUAGAUUAAUAUGGUUUUGAGAUUUUAUAUUGAUAAUAAUAUAAUAAUAAUAAUAAUAAUAAUAAUAAUAAUAAUAAUAUAAGUAAACGUUUCGAUUAAAUGUAAUAAUGUUAAAGAAUUACUAUAAAAAUAAAAAAAUAAAAAAAAAAAAACAAAAAUAAAAACCAUUAAUUAUAGAUACCCCGGGCCACAUUUUCGUUUUACACAAUAAUAAAAUCAUAUUUUGUUAUCUGCGUAGGAAAUAAAAACAAAAACAAAAAAGACCCGAACAAAAGUCUGGGACUUUUAAAAUCGGGAGGAGUUCAGCGUUAAUAAUUAUAAUAAUAACUAAUAAUCAAUAAUCAAUAAUAAAUAAUAGGUAUUAACUAGAAAUAAUUAACGUAAAACGAAACAAAAAAAAAUCGAAAUAUUAUACUACGUACUCGACAGUCGACAUAAAUGUUUGCGAACAAUUCGACUCACUCGACUAACGAUAUUUCUAUACGACGAAUUAUACGGAAAAUCAUAAGAGGGAAUAAGGGAAGAAAAACAAGGGGAAAAAAAUCGUCAUUAAAUAACAUAACGUGUGCCUAUAUACACGUGGUUGUUUCGCAAUAUAAUGUGGGUACAAAUUUACGCGAGCAAACGAGUUGUAUAUAGUCGAAGAACAAACACGAGGUAACUAGACGGGGUUGGUGGUGGGGCAUGAGAAGCGAUAUAAAUCAUACAUAAAUAUAUAUUAUGUAUUUAUUACGCUUUAGUUUAAUACAUUAUUACUAAAAUUGAAUAAAUAAAAAUAAUAAACGGGUGGGUAUAUUUAUUGUCAGUCUUGUUGAACGAACAAAUAUAAAAAAAAAAAAAAAAAAAAAAAAAAAAACAAAACAAAAUCGGGAAAACAAUAAGUUUUUAUUGUUUUAUACAAAACACGAGAGAAACGUAACACGGUCGAAAAUUGUAAUAAUAACUAAAAAAAAAA